GUUUCCAGCGACUUUUCCAGGGUGUGGGGAGUGAACUUCUGCGCAGCGGAGCCAGGGCAGGGGGAGGGAUGAUUAACGCCGCGGGUCGCCCGGAGAAGCGGGCGGGGUGGGACCGAGAUUAGGGCGUCCUGCCCGCAGGGUGGCCUGGAAGGCCCCACCGCCUCCCCUUUCCCGCGCUCCGGGAGAGUGCGUGCGUGAGCCAGCACUGGCUGGGCGUGUGCAAACAGACCACGCGCGCGUGCGCUGGCGAACCGGCGGAUGCUCACACACGUGCGAGCAGGAGAGGAAAUCGGUGCCAGGCGUGGUGAAGCUGAAGAUCUUCCAGCUCCAGGAAUCCUGGUCAUGCCCCUCACCGCGUGCACGUCUCUUAUUCUCUAGGGCUCUGACCUGGACUCCAAGAUAAAUAUUUAAUGUAGAGGGAGCUUCUGAGCUACUAAAGGCCCCAACUUCGUGAUUCUCACAAAGGGAGGUGACAGCCAUGGGCAAGGACCUGGGCACCAGCUCCAUCUCUAUGGGGAUGGGGAGCUCAGUAAACAGCUUUGGAGGAGGGAGGUGGUGGCUCGAGGGAGGCCCGGCUGGAGACCGGAGCCUUUUUCUCAGCUGCUUUGGCUCUGUUGCCUAUGGAGGCCUGGUGGCCCAGCUGCUUCAGCCCUCUCUCUCUCCCCAUGUUCCAUGAUGGCCAGCUGGCCUCGUGGAUGGCAGGAUGGAAGAGGGCUGUGACCACAGCGUCAGGGGAUACCUAAGGAAACUUGACUCAUUCCUCAUUCAGUCCUGAUGUAGGGAGAAUUCUUUUUUGAAAAGCAGAUUAAGGGGAUGGAGGGAGCCAGGUUCAGAGAUUAGGCCAAGACCCAGGUAUCUGAUUUCCCAGCUCCUCUCCCAGCUUCAGCUCUGCUGCUGGCUGGCUUCCACAGCUGGUGCAGCUUCCGGGGCAAGGCUGGACAGACAGACUAGAUGGUCCAGAACAGCCUGGAGCAGAUUCUUUCCACUGCCCCGACCCCUGCGGUCUGCCCUCAAAGGGAGCUCGCUCUCAUCAAGUGUGCUACGUGACUACCUAGGCCAGCCUAGGUCAGACUGCCUUGGCCUCCUCAGCCACCUGAGCCGUAAUAAACACAGUUAUGUAACUGC
Long non-coding RNA from Cavia porcellus (domestic guinea pig), 1125 nucleotides. RefSeq lists it as uncharacterized. NCBI's taxonomy places the organism in Eukaryota, Metazoa, Chordata, Mammalia, Rodentia, Caviidae. The record is from RefSeq and is a predicted model, not a curated record. The transcript has 2 exons.